RNAcentral lists this unclassified non-coding RNA (359 nucleotides) under soil metagenome. RNAcentral describes it as "partial contains 5.8S ribosomal RNA, internal transcribed spacer 2, and large subunit ribosomal RNA". The stretch from base 1 to 120 matches the Rfam family "5.8S ribosomal RNA", at positions 35 to 154 of the family's 154-position model. The record is from RNAcentral.
GAUGAAGAACGCAGCGAAAUGCGAUAAGUAAUGCGAAUUGCAGAAUUCAGUGAAUCAUCGAAUCUUUGAACGCACAUUGCGCCCGCCAGUACUCUGGCGGGCAUGCCUGUCUGAGCGUCAUUUCAACCCUCGCCCCCGGCUUCUGUCGGGGACGGUGUUGGGGAUCGGCCUCCCGUCUUCCGGGUGGCCGGCCCCUAAAUCGAGUGGCGACCACGUCGUAACCUCCUCUGCGUAGUAGUAACUCACCUCGCGGGUCGGAGAGCGGCGCGGAUCCUGCCGUAAAACCCCCAACUUCACAAGGUUGACCUCAGAUCAGGUAGGAAUACCCGCUGAACUUAAGCAUAUCAAUAAGCGGAGGA